Molecule: microRNA precursor, 159 nt
Filed under: Pelobates cultripes (western spadefoot toad)
Lineage: Eukaryota; Metazoa; Chordata; Amphibia; Anura; Pelobatidae
Source: RNAcentral
GCUGACACAUCCCGGCCAAUCAGCAGCAGACCCUCCCUCCCAGACCCUCCCACCUCCUGGACAGCAUCCAUGUUGAAGCUGCCUUCAACAUGGAUGCUGUCCAGGAGGUGGGAGGGUCUGGGAGGGAGGGUCUGAUGGAGAUUGGCCGGGAUGUGUCAG